UACGGCUAAUACCGCAUGAUGCCUGAGGGCCAAAGACGAAAGUCGUUUGAGGAGGAGCCUGCGUCUGAUUAGGUAGUUGUGGGGUAAAGGCCUCCCAAGCCUACGAUCAGUAGCUGGUCUGAGAGGAUGAUCAGCCACAUUGGGACUGAGACACGGCCCAAAUCCUACGGGAGGCAGCAGUGGGGAAUAUUGGACAAUGGGCGCAAGCCUGAUCCAGCAAUGCCGCGUGGGUGAAGAAGGUCUUCGGAUUGUAAAGCCCUUUUGGCGGGGACGAUGAUGACGGUACCCGCAGAAUAAGCUCCGGCUAACUUCGUG
RNAcentral lists this ribosomal RNA (315 nucleotides) under uncultured bacterium. Its description in RNAcentral is "bacterial SSU rRNA". It matches the Rfam family "Bacterial small subunit ribosomal RNA", at positions 158 to 507 of the family's 1533-position model. The record is from RNAcentral.